Molecule: non-coding RNA, 76 nt
Organism: Podarcis lilfordi (Lilford's wall lizard)
Lineage: Eukaryota; Metazoa; Chordata; Lepidosauria; Squamata; Lacertidae
Source: the annotation of a GenBank genome assembly
GUCUAUAGUGGAUAGCUCAGUUGAUUAGAGCAUGAUGCUGAUAGCAAGGUUACAGGUUCAAUUCCCAUGUGGGACA